AGAGUUUGAUCCUGGCUCAGGAUGAACGCUAGCUACAGGCUUAACACAUGCAAGUCGAGGGGAAACGACAUCGAAAGCUUGCUUUUGAUGGGCGUCGACCGGCGCACGGGUGAGUAACGCGUAUCCAACCUGCCCACCACUUGGGGAUAACCUUGUGAAAGUAAGACUAAUACCCAAUGACGUCUCUAGAAGACAUCUGAAAGGGAUUAAAGAUUUAUCGGUGAUGGAUGGGGAUGCGUCUGAUUAGCUUGUUGGCGGGGUAACGGCCGACCAAGGCUACGAUCAGUAGGGGUUCUGAGAGGAAGGUCCCCACGAUUGGAACUGAGACACGGUCCAAACUCCUACGGGAGGCA
RNAcentral lists this ribosomal RNA (353 nucleotides) under uncultured bacterium. Its description in RNAcentral is "bacterial SSU rRNA". It matches the Rfam family "Bacterial small subunit ribosomal RNA", at positions 8 to 350 of the family's 1533-position model. The record is from RNAcentral.